Molecule: ribosomal RNA, 766 nt
Filed under: Leuconostoc mesenteroides
Lineage: Bacteria; Bacillati; Bacillota; Bacilli; Lactobacillales; Lactobacillaceae
Description: bacterial SSU rRNA
Rfam family: Bacterial small subunit ribosomal RNA
Source: RNAcentral
CACAGCGAAAGGUGCUUGCACCUUUCAGUGAGUGGCGAACGGGUGAGUAACACGUGGACAACCUGCCUCAAGGCUGGGGAUAACAUUUGGAAACAGAUGCUAAUACCGAAUAAAACUUAGUGUCGCAUGACACAAAGUUAAAAGGCGCUUCGGCGUCACCUAGAGAUGGAUCCGCGGUGCAUUAGUUAGUUGGUGGGGUAAAGGCCUACCAAGACAAUGAUGCAUAGCCGAGUUGAGAGACUGAUCGGCCACAUUGGGACUGAGACACGGCCCAAACUCCUACGGGAGGCUGCAGUAGGGAAUCUUCCACAAUGGGCGAAAGCCUGAUGGAGCAACGCCGCGUGUGUGAUGAAGGCUUUCGGGUCGUAAAGCACUGUUGUAUGGGAAGAACAGCUAGAAUAGGAAAUGAUUUUAGUUUGACGGUACCAUACCAGAAAGGGACGGCUAAAUACGUGCCAGCAGCCGCGGUAAUACGUAUGUCCCGAGCGUUAUCCGGAUUUAUUGGGCGUAAAGCGAGCGCAGACGGUUUAUUAAGUCUGAUGUGAAAGCCCGGAGCUCAACUCCGGAAUGGCAUUGGAAACUGGUUAACUUGAGUGCAGUAGAGGUAAGUGGAACUCCAUGUGUAGCGGUGGAAUGCGUAGAUAUAUGGAAGAACACCAGUGGCGAAGGCGGCUUACUGGACUGCAACUGACGUUGAGGCUCGAAAGUGUGGGUAGCAAACAGGAUUAGAUACCCUGGUAGUCCACACCGUAAACGAUGAACACUA